Long non-coding RNA from Lagopus muta (rock ptarmigan), 456 nucleotides. RefSeq lists it as uncharacterized. Lineage: Eukaryota; Metazoa; Chordata; Aves; Galliformes; Phasianidae. The transcript has 3 exons. The record is from RefSeq and is a predicted model, not a curated record.
AUCCUUCUCAUUUUGAGAAGAUCUUAACAUGGAAACAAGCUUAUUAAUUCAACAUCAUGUUGAGAACAUGAAAAAAUGCCAAGGAGGAGGAAGAUGCCUGUGCAAGACCAAGAAUGUGCUCUCUGGUGAUUUCCCAUAGCACUUACUGGGGUUCUCCCUCCAGAGCAGUCCAGCUGUUGGGAAAGUGAUUUCCGAUUGGUAUGGAGGGCAUGGGGCUGCCGCUCUCUGAAGGGCACGGCUUUCCGGGGUGCUGUGCAGUCCAUGUCCCCUAUCCAGUACGGGUUUACACCUGCAGGACAUGGGGAGAGGGGCCAAGUUACUUCUGCUAGCUUUGGAAAGCUCUGCAUAUUCAUCUGAUCAGAUUGUCUACCAUUAAUGAGGAGCAUCUGAGUUUUACGAAGCUCUUUUGUUUUUUGAAGAGUGCUUCCAGUUAGUAAUAGGUAAGUGUAUGAGUAU